CGUGUAGGCGGCGCGACAAGUCGGGCGUGAAAUCCCUUGGCUCAACCGAGUGAAUGGCGUUCGAAACUGUCGUGCUGGAGUUCGGGAGAGGGACGUGGAAUUCCCGGUGUAGAGGUGAAAUUCGUAGAUAUCGGGAGGAACACCGGUGGCGAAGGCGGCGUCCUGGACCGAUACUGACGCUGAGACGCGAAAGCGUGGGGAGCAAACA
Molecule: ribosomal RNA, 208 nt
Filed under: uncultured bacterium
Lineage: Bacteria
Description: partial 16S ribosomal RNA
Rfam family: Bacterial small subunit ribosomal RNA
Source: RNAcentral